This 2160-nucleotide ribosomal RNA is filed under the name Triticum aestivum (bread wheat). RNAcentral's name for it is "partial small subunit ribosomal RNA". The record is from RNAcentral. Lineage: Eukaryota; Viridiplantae; Streptophyta; Magnoliopsida; Poales; Poaceae.
CAUUCGCACCCGGCCACAGCACACCUAAUUAAAAUCCCCUAGCGCGCUGAAGUGGCGGAAAAACUGUUUAGAUAGCGUGGCGCGGGCAACUAAGUACUAACGUGAAGUGUCGUGCAUGCGUUUCACACUACCAAUAAAAAUACGUGUUUUAAUUGCUGCUCGGAACCAACGAAGACAGACUUCGUUGUUCAAUCAUCUUUGCCUUGACUGCAUCAUGCACGGAGCAGUAAGUAGUAAAAGCAUGCUCUUAGAGAGAGUAAGCACAGUCUCUACGACUAGCAUCUAGAGGGACACGAAUCUUUACGUGCCACGCCUAUUCGGAAAUAAAUGGGUCUUUCUACACACCUAUUCGGAAGGAAAAAACUUCACAUCGUGGACGUGGUAUGAUGACAUACACUUGGAACGCAGGUUCCAAGGAGACCGGUGCGUCGCUUAAGUCGUCACUUGGCACGUACCUCGACAGUGCGUUCUGCUUUCACCCCGCUGCCGGUACGCACGCACAUAUACUGGUAACGCGCCGCCCGUGUGCAAGUAACGUUCGUGCUGACUACGGUGAACGACUUAAGCAAAGUCUCGCGACCAUGCUGUCCGUAAUAAAGUCCAAACUUCGUCAGGCUCCUAGAGAAAGUCUCCGCCUCUUCGGUUCAGAACCGGCGAUGUUGAAUAUUCAUAGCGCGCGCGAGCGAAAGCACACGAGGACGGGCGACGACAACGUGAGUCCACGCCACCGUCCGGCACACACCACCAACGUCCACGUCGGCGCGCAAGAGAAGAGGCCCUCCCCGCUCCAGCAGCUAGCCCCUACCUGCCGCUCUACCCGCUCCUGGACGACCGCCUCUAGGAGCAGGCCGACGGCGUGUUCAGCGACCGCGCCAAGGUCACGCAGAGGUGGUGCACCGCCCCGGAGUAGCGGCGGCUGAUGGAGGCGGCCUCCGACGGCGAGUAGUGCAGGCCGCACGACAAGGUGCUGCCGGGCGCCCUGCCGCCCCCGCCCUCCGCCCGCAUGUGAAUGCGCGCGCGCCGCCGCAGCGGCAGCAGCCCGCUCCUGCCGCCGCCGCACCGCCUCCGGCUGCUGUACAGGAAGAAGGGCACGGUGCGGUGCAGGUCGUAGUAGCUGCCGACGUUGCCGGACGACGAGAUGAUGCGCAGGACGGGCCGCCGCAAGGUGCAGCACUUGGGCUGGUGCGCCGCCACCCGCCGCGAGGGCCUCGGGGCGUCCUUCUGCGACGAGAGGCACGACAGGAAGCUGGGGACGCGGAGGGGCGUGAUGUUCCACCAGACGAAGUGGCCCACCGACGGGGCCCCGCGGAGGCAGCUCCACAAGCUGAGCCUCUGGCCGCGCACCCCGCUCGUGCUCGAGCUGAAGCCGGAGCUGUGGCUGCGGUACAGCCGGUGGUACGUGACGAAGCGGCCGCGGCAGGUGCACAACCGUAUGAGCCCGGUGCAGCAGGCGUAGCUGGAGCGGUGGUACUCCACGUGCCAGUGGCGCGAGGGCCGCGGGCACUCGAUGGCCCGUGCGCGCCCGGUGACGGCGCCGGCCGAGGCCAUGCGCAGGUCGCUGCCUAGCGCGGAGUGCGACACCCUCGACCACCUGCGCCCGUUCAGGCUCACCCACCGCUUCGUGCUCGAGCCCCAGCCGCUGGAGCAGAGGCCGCCGAGCACGGUGGGGCGAUGGCGCUGGAAACACAAGUACCGCAAGGUGGGCCUCUCCCUCCACCACAUGGACACCUGCGGCAGCUUCGAGUAGCGCAAGUUGUACCUCGUCUCCGCGCAGCUCCUCCUCACGCACAAGCCCAGGCCCUUUCUUCUGCGCGUCGAGUAUGUUUAGACCGACAAAGGGAAGAGCGCGGUAAACCGGUCGACGAACCGGACUCACCGCUAUGGCGUGCGGUGUGACUCGUCGACUCCUACACUAGCGGAGGUUCUUACACCCAGGCAAAUGAUCAGAUGUCUUUACAUCAACGCAGGUCGUGGCGUGUUUUUUCUAUGUCGUUUCAGGUUUAUACCCUACGUGCUAUGCUAAUAGUAAAAGAUAUAAACUAACUACGUUUACGAACAAGACAAUAUCCCCUUAGAUAAACAUAAGACAUUAUUGCCAGAACAAGUUAAUGAACGGAUAAACUAUAUGAUAUAAGUUAAAGAAUGUGAUAAAUUAAACGG